CGGGGGGCAGCAGUGGGGAAUAUUGGACAAUGGGCGCAAGCCUGAUCCAGCAAUACCGCGUGUGUGAAGAAGGCCUGAGGGUUGUAAAGCACUUUCAAUGGGGAGGAAUACCUGUCGGUUAAUACCCGGCAGAAUGACAUUACUCAUAGAAGAAGCACCGGCUAACUCCGUGCCAGCAGCCGCGGUAAUACGGAGGGUGCGAGCGUUAAUCGGAAUUACUGGGCGUAAAGCGUACGUAGGCGGUUCGUUAAGUCAGAUGUGAAAGCCCUGGGCUUAACCUGGGAACUGCAUUUGAAACUGGCGGACUCGAGUUGAGUAGAGGUAAGUGGAAUUUCAGGUGUAGCGGUGAAAUGCGUAGAUAUCUGAAGGAACACCAGUGGCGAAGGCGACUUACUGGACUCAAACUGACGCUGAGGUACGAAAGCGUGGGUAGCAAACAGGAUUAGAUACCCUUGU
Molecule: ribosomal RNA, 456 nt
Filed under: uncultured Crenothrix sp.
Lineage: Bacteria; Pseudomonadati; Pseudomonadota; Gammaproteobacteria; Methylococcales; Crenotrichaceae
Description: bacterial SSU rRNA
Rfam family: Bacterial small subunit ribosomal RNA
Source: RNAcentral